GAGUCCAGGUGAAAAAGAGGACUGGGCAUCUGCACCUUUAACAGUUGUAUGGAAGAGGGCAUUUCAGCAGAUGUACCUACUGGUCUGUUCUUCAGGCAAAGCGUAUUUUAUAUAAGGCAUAGCCAAUCCAGAAGCUUCAUAAUGCCUGCCAGUCAUUUAUUUAUUAUUUGAUUUAUAUCCCGCCCUUCCUCCCAGCAGGAGCCCAUAGGGGACAAUGUUUUGUAUUCCCAUUUCCUUCUGCACCAAGUGCCGUCUCGAAGGAUUAACUGCAUCCAGUCCACACUAAAUCGGAUCACAGAAGAGCGAUACCUUAAUGAAAGAAAGUGGUUCAUGAAAGAAAAUAAACUGUGGAGAGAAAUGGCCAUUUUGCAAGGAAGGAAAGUUACCAUUUCAGCCUCUGAGGGGACGUGGCGCUGCCCUUCCGUGACUCCCAGCCACACCAUUCUAAAAGCAUGCUUCAGUUCAAAGUUGUUAAUAUUCAGCUGGGAAACAGUAUCCAGAACACAAAUAAAUUAUUAAGUGCAUGAACUUUUUUAGGCAGUAAGCUGAACUGAUGGGGUCCAUCUGUGAGUUCCAGGGUCUUUUUUUAUGUAUGUGUAUGGAAUGGUUUUGCCCUCCCUGACUUCCUAGCCUUGGUCUGUGUCCAAGUGUAUGUAUAAUUGAUUCCAUACGUGCGAUUGGUUUCUCGAUGUAAUUGCUUUGUAAGAUAUGAAGAUACAUCUAAUGCAUAAUAAUAAUAAUAAUAAUAAUAAUAAAAACUGGCUAACAUUUCCAUCCUAUAUGUUAGAGCAGUACAGAGAGGCAUCCAGAUAUUCACAUAUUUCUGUAAAAGAAGUAUAUGCCAUUUCCCUUUCAUGGUAGGACAGCUAACCCAACCUUGUGAAGUACAAGGAUUUACCCCUCCAAACGCCAGUUGAGUAGAUAGGAGAGGAUUUUUGCUAGUUGUAGCCUCUAGUGUAUUUAUUUGUGAACAAUUGCCACACGUGCUUUUCUGAUGCCGAAGGAUGAAAAUAUUGCAAAGUCCUCCAAAGCUGUAUAAAGACUUGUAUUUCUUCAAGUUAUCUUUAAAAAGAGAGGAAAAAAUGCAGCGUGGCCUCCGUGAACUGCUCUAAAACGUUAUGACACUCUCAGUGAAGUAUAUUGGCCUGUUGCAUAGGACAGCUUCACUCUGUUUAUUUGAAGAAGGCACUCUGGUCAAACAAGAAACUUCCCAGAGUUAAGGAGAUGUUUUGGGCUUUGUUUAAGCUUGACUGAAGUGAAACAUAAAAGCUAAAGGAAUGUGUUUCCUUUAGGGAAAAAAGUGGAUAAGAGAAGAAUCAACUCAUUUGAAAUGUGGUGUCGGAGGAGAGUUUUGCGCAUACCAUGGACCGCGAAAAAGACAAAUAAUUGGGUGUUAGAACAAAUUAAACCAGAAGUGUCCCUGGAAGCUAAAAUGAUGAAACUGAGGUUAUCCUACGUUGGACACAUAAUAAGAAGACAUGAUUCACUAGAAAAGACAAUAAUGCUGGGAAAAACAGAAGGGAGUCGAAAAAGAGGAAGGCCAAACAAGAGAUGGACUGAUUCCAUAAAGGAAGCCACAGACCUGAACUUACAAGAUCUGAACA
Long non-coding RNA from Rhineura floridana, 1604 nucleotides. RefSeq lists it as uncharacterized. The record is from RefSeq and is a predicted model, not a curated record. Lineage: Eukaryota; Metazoa; Chordata; Lepidosauria; Squamata; Rhineuridae. The transcript is spliced from 4 exons.